Molecule: ribosomal RNA, 443 nt
Filed under: uncultured bacterium
Lineage: Bacteria
Description: partial 16S ribosomal RNA
Rfam family: Bacterial small subunit ribosomal RNA
Source: RNAcentral
CCUACGGGAGGCAGCAGUGGGGAAUAUUGGGCAAUGGGCGCAAGCCUGCCCCAGCAACGCCGCGUGAAGGAAGAAGGCUUUCGGGUUGUAAACUUCUUUUCUCAGGGACGAAGAAAGUUACGGUACCUGAGGAAUAAGCCACGGCUAACUCCGAGCCAGCAGCCGCGGUAAUACGUAGGUGGCAAGCGUUAUCGGGGUUUAUUGGGGGUAAAGGGCGGGUAGGCGGGAGGGCAAGUCAGGUGUGAAAACUCAGGGCUCAACCCUGGGACUGCCUUUGAAACUGUGGUACUUGAGUGUUGGAGAGGAAAUCGGAAUUCCGGGUGUAGCGGUGAAAUGCGUAGAUAUACGGAGGAACACCAGUGGCGAAGGCGGCUUGCUGGACAGUAACUGACGCUGAGGCGCGAAAGCGUGGGGAGCAAACAGGAUUAGAUACCCUGGUAGUC